This 467-nucleotide ribosomal RNA is filed under the name uncultured bacterium. Its description in RNAcentral is "partial 16S ribosomal RNA". It matches the Rfam family "Bacterial small subunit ribosomal RNA", at positions 28 to 506 of the family's 1533-position model. The record is from RNAcentral.
GACGAACGCUGGCGGCGUGCUUAACACAUGCAAGUCGAACGGAAAGGCCCUGCUUUUGUGGGGUGCUCGAGUGGCGAACGGGUGAGUAACACGUGAGUAACCUGCCCUUGACUUUGGGAUAACUUCAGGAAACUGGGGCUAAUACCGGAUAGGAGCUCCUGCUGCAUGGUGGGGGUUGGAAAGUUUCGGCGGUUGGGGAUGGACUCGCGGCUUAUCAGCUUGUUGGUGGGUUAGUGGCUUACCAAGGCUUUGACGGGUAGCCGGCCUGAGAGGGUGACCGGCCACAUUGGGACUGAGAUACGGCCCAGACUCCUACGGGAGGCAGCAGUGGGGAAUAUUGCACAAUGGGCGGAAGCCUGAUGCAGCAACGCCGCGUGCGGGAUGACGGCCUUCGGGUUGUAAACCGCUUUCGCCUGUGACGAAGCGUGAGUGACGGUAAUGGGUAAAGAAGCACCGGCUAACUACGU